UGCAGACCCAGAGGGAGGCAGCCGUGGGCCGGCACCCCCCAAGGAGGCGAGUGCAGGGGGGCUGGCACCCUCUCCCCUCCACUGUUUCGCUUUCCCCUCUCAGGGGCCAGACAUUAAGGACGAGGACGCUCAGAAACCAUUGCACGUGGAGUUCCCGUCGUGACUCAGUGGAGACGAACCUGACAGAGGUCCGAGAGGAUGCAGUGGCCGUGGUGCAGGCCAGUGGCCAGGCUCCGAUUGGACCCCUGGCCUGGGAACCUCCAUGUGCCACGGAUGCGGCCCUACGAAAAAAGCCGGAAAAAAUUUGCAUGUUUGAGAAGGUUAGCAAGCGUCUGUUGCACACGCCCAGGUGAGGACUCAGCAAAGACCUGAGAAAAACUGGAGGCUACUCUUCUGGCUGGUUCUUGGCAAGGCGCCUAUAACAAUAAAAACUAAACAGACCCCCAGCAAACCGCAGGGGAGGGAGAAUCUGGUGCCCAGAGCUGUCACGUUUUUAAAUGUCCAGUGUUCAACCAAGAAAUUGGAGACCUGCAGAGAAACGGGAGGGUGUGGAGAACCUGUUGAAAGGAACCAAAAACAAUUCAGAAUCUGUCCCUGAGAAAGAAAGACUUUAAAACAAAUCUCUUUUGUUGUUGUUUUUUCAUUUUUAGGGCCAAACCCACAGCAUAUGGAAGUUCCCGGCCUAGGGGUGGAAUCAGAGCUGCAGCCGCCGGCCUCCACCACAGCCACGGUGACACUGCAGCUCACGGCAACGCCAGAUCCUUAACCCACUGGCCAGGGAUCGAACCCGCGACCUCAUGGAUGCUGGUCGGGUUCGUUCUGCUGCUGUGCCGCAAGGGGAACUCGGGGAACAGCCGUCUCCCAGAUGCCCCAAGAGCUGAAAGAAGAUGCGGAGGACGUUUUGUGUGGACAGAGUGGCGAUACCGGAGGGACGGAGAGCCAAGAGUCAGAAAAGUCUGAACCUGGAACAACAGUGACGGAAAUGAAAAGUUGAGUAGAGAGAUUUAAAGACGACGCCGAGCAGCAGGGAGCGUCUGGGACCCUGAGGAGAGGACCAGAGACCUCACGGAGGCUGAGGAGCUGCACCUCCCAGAUGGUGGCACAGCGUCCGGAGGGACGUGCUGUGGGAGCCUGAGGGAAGGACCGGGGCGGCCGGGAGUGAAUAAGGGCUGCAGACCCCGGUUUUCUCGAGACGUGACUGUGCACGUGCACGCGCACCUCGGAGACACUGCUUGUGAGUCUGGCUCCAGGCCCCUCAGGAAGGCAAGCACCUGUCAGAUGGGCUCACACGGAUGCUUUCGUUUCCCGGUGCACGUAAAAGAGGGUCCCACGGGGUUCCUUUCGUGGCUCCACAGUUAGCGAACCUGAGUAAGAUCCACGAGGACGUGGGUUGGAUCCCUGGCCUUGCUCCAUGGCUGAAGGGUCCGGCGUGGCUGUGAGCUGGGGUGUGGGUCGCAGACACGGCCCGGAUCCUGCGUUGCUGUGGCCGUGGUGCAGGCCGGCAGCUGUGAGUCCCUUCGACCCCUGGCCUGGGAGCUCUCAUAUGCUGCAGGUGCAACCCUAAAAAGAAAAGCUUAUGUCCACGUGAUACUCUAGCCUGUUAAGUGUGCGGUAGCGCCAUCGUCUUUAUAAAGCAAGCGCUGUGCACGCUGUCCAUCGGCGCAGCCUUCAGUGGGUUCGGGUCAGACGGCACUGAUCACAGACCCCGACAAAGGAAUAAAACGUUUGAAACGCUGCACGAAGCACCAGCAUAGGACGUACAGACCCAAAGUGAGCAGAUGCCGUGGGGUGAUGGUGUCCGUCGUCUGGCUUGACGCGAAGCCGACCUUCAGUCUCUAGAAAACUCUCGGCCGAGCUCGGUAGCAGAGCGAGGAAGGACCGUACGGAGCCGAGCAGCUGCCCAGUUGAUCUCCAGGAGAAUCCCACCGAGACGCGUGACCAGACGCUGCAAAGACACAGAGCAGGGCUGAGGGCCGCGGAGGGCGUUGAAUCGUCGUGGACACGCGAGGUCCCCGUGAGGUGAUGCUCGGGUUUCUGUUUGGGGCCGGGAGGCCGCAGGACAGCAGGCCGGCAGACGGAAGGUCUGAAGCGUCGGCCUCGACUCUUCUGUGGGAAAGCGUGCCUGCCCUUCCAGUGAGGGGCAGCAGAGAUGCUUCCAGGGGAGAGCGGGGGAUCUUGUUCACCAACCUGUCCUGCCCGAAGGGCUCAAGGGAAGCCUACAGGGUGGCACGGGAGCCGCGAGAUGGCAUCUCAAAGCCGUGUGAAAAGUAAAGACCUCCGCAAAGACGAAUACCUGGGCGUUGUAACACCGAGAAUCCCCACGACCGUGCCCUGCAGCUGUCCAUUUUGUUUUCUAUACCUUAACAUACAUUUAAAGAAAAAAAUUAAUGUAAAAGCUAGGGUCGCUGUGGAGUCCCUUGGUGGCACAGUGGUUAGCGAAUCCGACGGGGAACCAUGAGGUGGCAGGUUCGAUCCCUGGCCUCGCUCAGAGGGUUGAGGAUCCGGCGUUGCCAUGAGCUGUGGUGUAGGUUGCAGACGCGGCUCGGAUCCCGUCUUGCUGUGGCUGUGGUGCAGGCCGGCAGCUAUAGCUCCGAUUCGACCCCUCGCCUGGGAACUUUCAUAUGCCACGGGAGCGGCCCAAAGAAAUAGCAAAAAGACAAAAAAAUUUUAAAAAAAAGCUAGGGUCACUGUAACUUUGGUUGAUAACUCGAAAUUGUAUACACAACUCAGGGGACUGUACACUUAGAAUCAUUGCUGUUUCGUGGCACAUGGUCUAUAAGGAUGCAGCAGUCAAAAGGGUGCGGUGGGGCUGCAGAAAAAGCAGAAUUGUUGUCUGUUGUUGAAGUGAAGCUGCUCUAAGAUCAAAUGGGAACAUUGCAACUUUAAGAUGUUCAACAGCCUCCUCUCGGUAACCACAGAAAAGUUAUAGGGUGUACAGAAGAGGAAAUUAAGAAGUAAUUUAAACAUUUCACUCAAGAAAAUCAAUGGAAAAGAAGACAGAAUGCAAGAAGUGAGAAAAACGCCUUAGGGCCUGUGGUAAAACCAACACCGUGACAGCUUGGUCC
RNAcentral lists this long non-coding RNA (3065 nucleotides) under Sus scrofa (pig). RNAcentral describes it as "lncRNA (ENSSSCG00000056182.1)". Lineage: Eukaryota; Metazoa; Chordata; Mammalia; Artiodactyla; Suidae. The record is from RNAcentral.